UUAAAUUGAAGAGUUUGAUCAUGGCUCAGAUUGAACGCUGGCGGCAGGCCUAACACAUGCAAGUCGAACGGUAACAGGAAACAGCUUGCUGUUUCGCUGACGAGUGGCGGACGGGUGAGUAAUGUCUGGGAAACUGCCUGAUGGAGGGGGAUAACUACUGGAAACGGUAGCUAAUACCGCAUAAUGUCGCAAGACCAAAGAGGGGGACCUUCGGGCCUCUUGCCAUCGGAUGUGCCCAGAUGGGAUUAGCUAGUAGGUGGGGUAACGGCUCACCUAGGCGACGAUCCCUAGCUGG
RNAcentral lists this ribosomal RNA (295 nucleotides) under Shigella sonnei. Its description in RNAcentral is "partial 16S ribosomal RNA". It matches the Rfam family "Bacterial small subunit ribosomal RNA", at positions 1 to 290 of the family's 1533-position model. The record is from RNAcentral. Lineage: Bacteria; Pseudomonadati; Pseudomonadota; Gammaproteobacteria; Enterobacterales; Enterobacteriaceae.